This is a long non-coding RNA of Ceratina calcarata, 1669 nucleotides long. RefSeq lists it as uncharacterized. The record is from RefSeq and is a predicted model, not a curated record. Lineage: Eukaryota; Metazoa; Arthropoda; Insecta; Hymenoptera; Apidae. The transcript is spliced from 2 exons.
AGGCACGUGUGAAGUGUUACGUCACUCAAAGCGAAUCAGCCUUGAGCUACUGUUGGAUACACACAUGCAAUCUGUUCAUCUGCUCAAUGGUUGAUGAUUUAUUAAAACGAGAAGUUGAAAUUGAAUCAAUUUUCGCUCCGUUGAAGGUUAAACUCUUUAGUUCAUCAGUUACCGCUAGUCUAUGGUACCAAAGUAGUUGGUUUAUUCAGCAGUGAUUCGUAAAUUCAGUAUGUCUAUGACAUCCAAGCAGUUGGUUUAUUCAGCGGUGAUUCGUAAAUUCAGAGGACUGUGACCCAAUCAGGAUGAUUACUCUCCCGCGCAUCUAUGAGGGAUUAAUUCUAACGUUUCUCGGAAAUAAAUACGAUCGGCCGUUAAUUGACUUCGACGUGUAUAAUUUUCGUCGAUUCAAUCAGCUAUUCGACGUCUUGUUACGCAGCAUUGGUACAGAUUCUGAAAUUAACGGAGCACGGGAGGAGGGGAUAAAAAAGAAACGUUGCAAUUUAUACGGGUCACGCUUUGAUACACGCGUUGCGUUGAAUUAUCGAGCAAUUGCGCAAUGAAAAAUUAUAUUGCCGUGUACGGAGUGAAUUUACAAUCGCUCCGUUUUAUCGAUAUCGCCGUACGGUCGUUGGAUGAUGCUUUAAAUCCAUGGAAUAUAUAUGACGCAAUUUGUGAAACGGCACGAACGGCUGACAGCAGAACGUUACCGUCGCUUUCGUAGAUAAUCGAUCUCAAAAGCAGUUCUAGUAUCGUAUACGGAUAUAAAAUGUGCUCAAUCGCUAAUCACUUAAGUAAACAAGCUAUAAAGAGGAUUUUAUUUUUACCAAAAUUGGAUUUUUCGAUCAAAGAUUACAGACGAUGAUAAAAGGUGUCAUAUGACUGGAGUUGAGAGUGUCAAGCAUGAAUCGUUGAUUGUGCGAAUUGCGCAAUCUAACAGUCCCUCUUUAGUGAAAGUUUUGUGAAAAAUCCAACCGUACCAUAAUUACUUCUUUCCUCCAUGAACGAGUAGUAACAAAGAAUCCAUUAGCCGAGAAUAAAAAAGAACUGUUCCCGAAAGGAUCGUUUCCUGGGAAUAUCCGGCUACCUACCGUAUUACCAGGAACCGGAAAGGUAGCAUCAAUUCUUGUUGGUCCAAAGCGUAACGCCGCAUACAGCGAUCAUACGAUGCGAUCCUGAGAGCAGGUACGGACUUGGGCCGAUCGUCCGGCACGUUCAAAUAUCGACGUUCAAAUAUCAAUAGAGGCUGCCGCUAAGUCGUCGCGAAACGCCCGCGAUUGCGAGCACUUCGCUUGAAUACAGUCGUUACGUUUCCACCCUCUCGUAUCCCAGUCGUGUAUAGACCCUUCCAAGUCUUCUUAGUCCAUUCCCGCUGUCCCCGUGAGCCUUUCACCCGACUAUCGAGUCGUUCGCUCCUCGUGUUUAAGACAAUUGUACUCCGGGUAAAAAGAACUACGUACUCCUUUCCUAAUUGCAGGAAAAGGAAGUACGACUUCUUUGAAACGUUUGAACAAUUCCUCUUAUUACUUCGACGUCGAAUAUUAAUUUUCCAUCAUUAUUAAAUUCACUUCUAUAUUUGGCAGUUUUCCUUUCGAAUCUUCCCACUUUUCCUAAGGGAACAUAAUACCUGUAAAUAGAGUUGAGAAAAAAUAAAGAGAUAUUCCUUCCUCUG